This 124-nucleotide microRNA precursor is filed under the name Hordeum vulgare. RNAcentral describes it as "microRNA MIR1122". It matches the Rfam family "MIR1120/MIR1122 microRNA precursor family". The record is from RNAcentral. Lineage: Eukaryota; Viridiplantae; Streptophyta; Magnoliopsida; Poales; Poaceae.
UAAAUACUCUAUUCGUCAGGAGUUAUUUGUCAUACAAAUGGAUAAAAUGGAUGUAUCUAGAACUAAAAUACAUCUAGAUACAUCCAUUCUUAUGACAAGUAUUUUCGGACCAUGGGAGUAUUAG